Small nuclear RNA from Panthera tigris altaica (Amur tiger), 103 nucleotides. NCBI's taxonomy places the organism in Eukaryota, Metazoa, Chordata, Mammalia, Carnivora, Felidae. The record is from Ensembl.
AUGCUCACUUUGGCAGCUCAUAUACUAAAAUUAGAAUGAUAGAAGAUUAGCAUGGCCCCUGCACAGGGAUGACACACAAAUUCAUGAGGCAGUUCAUAGUAAA